GACGAACGCUGGCGGCGUGCCUAAUACAUGCAAGUAGAACGCUGAAGGAGGAGCUUGCUUCUCUGGAUGAGUUGCGAACGGGUGAGUAACGCGUAGGUAACCUGCCUGGUAGCGGGGGAUAACUAUUGGAAACGAUAGCUAAUACCGCAUAAGAGUAGAUGUCGCAUGACAUUUGCUUAAAAGGUGCAAUUGCAUCACUACCAGAUGGCCCUGCGUUGUAUUAGCAAGUUGGUGAGGUAACGGCUCACCAAGGCAACGAUACAUAGCCGACCUGAGAGGGGAAUCGGCCACACUGGGACUGAGACACGCCCCAGACUCCUACGGGAGACAGCAGUAGGGAAUCUUCGGCAAUAGACGGAAGUCUGACCGAGCAACGCCGCGUGAGUGAAGAAGGUUUUCGGAUCGUAAAGCUCUGUUGUAAGAGAAGAACGAGUGUGAGAGUGGAAAGUUCACACUGUGACGGUAUCUUACCAGAAAGGGACGGCUAACUACGUG
This 495-nucleotide ribosomal RNA is filed under the name uncultured bacterium. Its description in RNAcentral is "partial 16S ribosomal RNA". It matches the Rfam family "Bacterial small subunit ribosomal RNA", at positions 28 to 507 of the family's 1533-position model. The record is from RNAcentral.